UUAAGUUCAGCGGGUAGUCUCACCCGAUUUGAGGUCAAGGUCGCUGUGUUCGAGUCACGCGAUGCAACUCGAACAUCGUCUUUGUUCAAAGACCGUUUGAAGCGGGUUCGUUCAAAACCCAAGACGUAGAAGCAUACUUAUCACGUCAAGGAUCGGCAAAGCGAGCCCCACUAAUUCAUUUAGGAGGAGCUGGCUUCAAA
This 200-nucleotide unclassified non-coding RNA is filed under the name Russula sp. RNAcentral describes it as "partial internal transcribed spacer 2". The record is from RNAcentral. Lineage: Eukaryota; Fungi; Basidiomycota; Agaricomycetes; Russulales; Russulaceae.